RNAcentral lists this ribosomal RNA (450 nucleotides) under uncultured bacterium. RNAcentral's name for it is "partial 16S ribosomal RNA". It matches the Rfam family "Bacterial small subunit ribosomal RNA", at positions 354 to 796 of the family's 1533-position model. The record is from RNAcentral.
GUAGGGAAUUUUGGACAAUGGGCGCAAGCCUGAUCCAGCAAUGCCGCGUGCAGGAAGAAGGCCUUCGGGUUGUAAACUGCUUUUGUACGGAACGAAACGGUCCUGGUUAAUACCUGGGGCUAAUGACGGUACCGUAAGAAUAAGCACCGGCUAACUACGUGCCAGCAGCCGCGGUAAUACGUAGGGUGCGAGCGUUAAUCGGAAUUACUGGGCGUAAAGCGUGCGCAGGCGGUGCUGUAAGACAGGCGUGAAAUCCCCGGGCUCAACCUGGGAAUUGCGCUUGUGACUGCAGUGCUGGAGUACGGCAGAGGGGGAUGGAAUUCCGCGUGUAGCAGUGAAAUGCGUAGAUAUGCGGAGGAACACCGAUGGCGAAGGCAGUCCCCUGGGCCUGUACUGACGCUCAUGCACGAAAGCGUGGGGAGCAAACAGGAUUAGAAACCCCAGUAGUCC